RNAcentral lists this ribosomal RNA (1191 nucleotides) under Triticum aestivum (bread wheat). RNAcentral describes it as "partial small subunit ribosomal RNA". The record is from RNAcentral. Lineage: Eukaryota; Viridiplantae; Streptophyta; Magnoliopsida; Poales; Poaceae.
AUGCAGCAGCGCAAGGCGCCCAAGGCGUGCGCGGAGGGCGUCACGGAGCAGGAGGCGUCACCGGCGGUCGUGCUGCCGAGGACCGCCACGGUGCGCGACUUGCUGGAGGCGGAGGAGGCUCCGGACCAGUGCUCCAUGACGCCGUGUGGCGAUGGCGAGCGCGCGGUCGGCCGCGUCGCGCACCUGGCACGCCGGGGAGGGGACGCCGCCCGCGGCGCGCACGGGGCGCAGCGCGUCGAGCAUCUCGUGCUCCCGUCGCGUCCGCCACUUGGGUGUCCACUCCGCCGGCUCCGCACUUGCGGCCCCUCUCGUCCGCGGCCGCCGCAAACACCGUGGUGGAGGUCGGCUCUGUUGUGGGGCGACGAGUACGAGGUCGACCCGGAGCUGCUGCUCUGGCUGGACCCACAGCCGCCAGAGCUGGUGCUGGGGUCUGACGUGGUGUACAUUGAGGAGGUCGUCGACGACCUAUUGGCCACGCUCACCUGGCUUGCCGGGCCGCGCACCACCGUAUUGCUCGCCGGCGAGCUCCGCAACGCCGUGCUCGAAGCUCGUUACGCCCGUGACAACCGGGGAGCCGUGAACGACGCACGCAAAUUUCUCCGCCUCUCGACCCGACCCGACCCGCUUUCCUCCGACGCCGUCUCCCUCUCCUGCGAUCUCCUCUACGACGAGCGACGCCACCUGCCUCAUCUCUCCUUGGCACCAGCAGCGACCCCGCCGCUCGCCUUCUCCGGUGAGGAGCCUCGCCUCACCUCGCAACCUCCGUCCUCCCCCAUCACCCUCCGUCCCGUCCAUCCCCAUAGCCGGCGAGACGUCACGACCUCACCUCCCAGUCCCCUGCUGUCCAGAUCUACCCGUCCCUACCCAUUGCUCCGUUCAAUUCGAUCCCAUCCCAUCCCAUCCCAUCCCAUCAUCUCUGGGUUUCGAUUCGAUUUGGUUGCAGCUGGUAGCUUCUAUCUUCGAUGCAGAGUCCUGAAUAGCUUGCUGCCGGUAGGGGCCAUUAAUCAGCUUCUGAGGAAACUAUUCAGAGCCAGUCUUCUUCUGUUCUACGGUUGUACUAGGGCGGAUCUCCUUCUCACAGGCGGAGAUUCCUGUUUGUCUGCGGCGCACUAUAGCUGGCGGUCCUCCAUAGCCAUGAGCAAGUUUGGGAAGGUCCUGGAAGCUGAUGUUAAAGUAGAAGCCAACAGCUAG